Molecule: long non-coding RNA, 441 nt
Filed under: Mus musculus (house mouse)
Lineage: Eukaryota; Metazoa; Chordata; Mammalia; Rodentia; Muridae
Description: Gmnr
Source: RNAcentral
UGAUCAUUCAUUGCGAUUGUCUCCUGUGCCUCCAAGUGAGUUUUUUUUUAUGUCCAUUCCCACAUAGGAGUAGAAACAUUUUUGUAUGUUAAUGUGGUGAGCUCCAUUUCCAUCAGUUUUCCUGCAAAUGAUAGAAUUCCAUUCUACUUUGUGGAAGAUUAAAGUUCGUGUGUGUGUGUCCUUAUGUCUAUGGUCCCAAUACAUAAGUGAAACCUGCAUCACUCCAUCUCAUGUUAUUCUUCGAGUAUGUUUCAAGGAUGACCACUGGAUUUCAGAAAACCAGUUGUUGGGCUCUUCCGUGGAGAGAACUGUAUAUUCUGCUCCCAGAAUUCCUUAGUUGCCUGGACCUAUUCGUCUAGGGCUCAUGUUUCUGAUCUUUCUGCCUUGUAUGUUAGCAUGUCUACUGACACUGUCCUUGCUCAAGCCAUGUUUAGGCAACCA